UACGUAGGGUGCAAGCGUUGUCCGGAAUUAUUGGGCGUAAAGAGCUCGUAGGCGGCCUGUCGCGUCGGAUGUGAAAGCCCGGGGCUUAACCCCGGGUCUGCAUUCGAUACGGGUAGGCUAGAGUUCGGUAGGGGAGAUCGGAAUUCCUGGUGUAGCGGUGAAAUGCGCAGAUAUCAGGAGGAACACCGGUGGCGAAGGCGGAUCUCUGGGCCGAUACUGACGCUGAGGAGCGAAAGCGUGGGGAGCGAACAGG
RNAcentral lists this ribosomal RNA (253 nucleotides) under uncultured bacterium. Its description in RNAcentral is "partial 16S ribosomal RNA". It matches the Rfam family "Bacterial small subunit ribosomal RNA", at positions 524 to 776 of the family's 1533-position model. The record is from RNAcentral.